ACGUUGAAACACUAUUUCCUUUACGAUCACCGAAGUUAAGCAACUUCGAGCCUGUUCCGUACCUAGAUGGGUGACCGCGUAGGAAUACCAGGUGUUGUAU
Molecule: non-coding RNA, 100 nt
Organism: Acanthosepion pharaonis
Lineage: Eukaryota; Metazoa; Mollusca; Cephalopoda; Sepiida; Sepiidae
Source: the annotation of a GenBank genome assembly